AAUAGAUACCCGAGGUAGUCCACGACUGUAAACGAUAAUCACUAGACGUUGGUCUGGCUUAGCCGGAUCAGUGUCAAAGCUAACGCGUUAAGUGAUUCGCCUGGGGAGUACGGUCGCAAGAUUAAAACUUAAAGGAAUUGACGGGGGUCCGCACAAGCGGUGGAACAUGUGGUUUAAUUCGACAGUACGCGAGGAACCUUACCUGGGCUUGACAUGUAUCUGACAGCUGUAGAAAUACAGUCUUUCAGGUUUCGGCUUGAACAGAUACACAGGUGCUGCAUGGCUGUCGUCAGCUCGUGUCGUGAGAUGUUGGGUUAAGUCCUUUAACGAGCGCAACCCUUGCUGCCAGUUGCAACUUGUCUUUGACAAGGCACUCUGGUGGGACUGCCUGGGAAACCAGGAGGAAGGUGGGGACGACGUCAAGUCGUCAUGGUCCUUAUGUCCAGGGCUACACACGUGUUACAAUGGCCGAGUACAGCGGGUUGCAAUUCCGUAAGGAGGAGCUAAUCCCCUAAAGUCGGUCUAAGUUCGGAUUGGGGU
Molecule: ribosomal RNA, 540 nt
Filed under: uncultured bacterium
Lineage: Bacteria
Description: bacterial SSU rRNA
Rfam family: Bacterial small subunit ribosomal RNA
Source: RNAcentral